CCUGCGCGUCGCGCACGGGGUCGGCGCCGGGCUGCUGGUGCCCGCCACGCUCGUGGCGGUGUGGGAGCGGCCCCGGAUCCUGCGCGCGGUGUGGGC
Molecule: transfer RNA, 96 nt
Filed under: Thiemannella venezuelensis
Lineage: Bacteria; Bacillati; Actinomycetota; Actinomycetes; Streptosporangiales; Streptosporangiaceae
Description: Planomonospora venezuelensis tRNA-Thr
Source: RNAcentral